GGGCGGGGAAAUUGAGAAAGACAGGGGCGAAGGAAAUGUAAAGGCGGAGGGAGGGCCGGACAGAAAGGGUUGAAGAAGGAGAGGAAGAAGGACGCCGGAUCAGAGGAGGCAGAGGCAGAGAGAGUGAAAGAUGGAGAAGUGGGACAAGUGCGGUCAGACGUCGACAGCGAUGCCGCUGAAAUUCGGCCCAGAGCCGAGGGAGGAAGACUGACUGGCGGAGAUGUCCAUCGCACAUGUGCAAAGUCUAAAUGCUUGAAGAUGCCUGGCAGUGCAGAUCAGGAGGGUCCCAUUUUGGAAAGGAGACUGAAUGCACAGUCCAAUCACAAAAACCGAUGAAUGUGAAGAGGACUGUGGGAUGUAGAAGAAGCAACUGAGUGCAGAUGUUUUCCAGCUGGUGCUGUAAGUAGAUUGAUGUGAUUUCAUUUCAUACUAUCAGUAUUAAAUUUCAGAUUACAGAGAUAAACUCAUCACAUAAUGUGAUGUUAUGUUAUGUUAGCAGUGACAAAAAAGGAAAUCUCCUGAACCACUGAAAUGCAGCUGUUGCUCUUAUGUGUCUCCUCUGUGUUUUAUCUUUGAUAUCAUUGCCAUGUGUGUAAUUGUAUUAAGAGUACAAGUAAUAAA
Long non-coding RNA from Oreochromis niloticus (Nile tilapia), 621 nucleotides. RefSeq lists it as uncharacterized. Lineage: Eukaryota; Metazoa; Chordata; Actinopteri; Cichliformes; Cichlidae. The record is from RefSeq and is a predicted model, not a curated record. The transcript has 3 exons.